UNGUCAGCCUGAAAAGGUGUCAGUAGGUAC
RNAcentral lists this non-coding RNA (30 nucleotides) under Mus musculus (house mouse). The record is from RNAcentral. Lineage: Eukaryota; Metazoa; Chordata; Mammalia; Rodentia; Muridae.